This 301-nucleotide ribosomal RNA is filed under the name uncultured bacterium. RNAcentral's name for it is "partial 16S ribosomal RNA". It matches the Rfam family "Bacterial small subunit ribosomal RNA", at positions 509 to 809 of the family's 1533-position model. The record is from RNAcentral.
CAGUAGCCGCGGGAAUACGUAGGUGGCAAGCGUUGUCCGGAAUUAUUGGGCGUAAAGCGCGCGCAGGCGGAUCAGUUAGUCUGUCUUAAAAGUUCGGGGCUUAACCCCGUGAUGGGAUGGAAACCGCUGAUCUAGAGUAUCGGAGAGGAAAGUGGAAUUCCUAGUGUAGCGGUGAAAUGCGUAGAUAUUAGGAAGAACACCAGUGGCGAAGGCGACUUUCUGGACGAAAACUGACGCUGAGGCGCGAAAGCCAGGGGAGCGAACGGGAUUAGAUACCCCCGUAGUCCCUGUCUCUUAUACA